AAGCUACACUCUGUGUCAGAUAUUUGAAACAGUGAUUUGGCACAAUUUCAGCUUGCCAAAGCAAACUACAGUCUAACCUAUUCCAGCACUCUCUGUUUUUGGGAUUUGCUGUUAACUGGGCUGUUACAAA
Small nucleolar RNA from Erpetoichthys calabaricus (reedfish), 130 nucleotides. The record is from Ensembl. Lineage: Eukaryota; Metazoa; Chordata; Cladistia; Polypteriformes; Polypteridae.